Molecule: ribosomal RNA, 253 nt
Filed under: uncultured bacterium
Lineage: Bacteria
Description: partial 16S ribosomal RNA
Rfam family: Bacterial small subunit ribosomal RNA
Source: RNAcentral
GACGAGGGGUCCUAGCGUUGUUCGGAAUCAUUGGGCGUAAAGCGUGUGUAGGCGGCCUUACAAGUCAGUUGUGAAAGCCCCGGGCUCAACCCGGGAAGUGCUUCUGAUACUGUUUGGCUUGAGUACUGGAGAGGAUAGUGGAAUUCCAGGUGUAGUGGUGAAAUGCGUAGAUAUCGGGAGGAACACCAGUGGCGAAGGCGACUACCUGGCCUGUUCUUGACGCUGAGGCGCGAAAGCUAGGGGAGCAAACGGG